RNAcentral lists this non-coding RNA (146 nucleotides) under Nomascus leucogenys (northern white-cheeked gibbon). Lineage: Eukaryota; Metazoa; Chordata; Mammalia; Primates; Hylobatidae. The record is from Rfam by way of RNAcentral.
GCCAGGCAUGGUGGUGCAUGCCUGUAAUCCCAGCUACUCGGGAGGCUGAGGCAGAAGAAUCACUUGAACCCGGGAGGUGGAGGUUGUAGUGAGCCAAUCGUGCCACUGCACUCCAGCCUGGGCAACAGAGCGAGACUCUGUCUCAA